AUGAACGCUGGCGGCGUGCCUAAUACAUGCAUGUCGAGCGAACAGACGAGGAGCUUGCUCCUCUGACGUUAGCGGCGGACGGGUGAGUAACACGUGGAUAACCUACCUAUAAGACUGGGAUAACUUCGGGAAACCGGAGCUAAUACCGGAUAAUAUAUUGAACCGCAUGGUUCAAUAGUGAAAGACGGUUUUGCUGUCACUUAUAGAUGGAUCCGCGCCGCAUUAGCUAGUUGGUAAGGUAACGGCUUACCAAGGCAACGAUGCGUAGCCGACCUGAGAGGGUGAUCGGCCACACUGGAACUGAGACACGGUCCAGACUCCUACGGGAGGCAGCAGUAGGGAAUCUUCCGCAAUGGGCGAAAGCCUGACGGAGCAACGCCGCGUGAGUGAUGAAGGUCUUCGGAUCGUAAAACUCUGUUAUUAGGGAAGAACAAAUGUGUAAGUAACUAUGCACGUCUUGACGGUACCUAAUCAGAAAGCCACGGCUAACUACGUG
RNAcentral lists this ribosomal RNA (496 nucleotides) under uncultured bacterium. RNAcentral's name for it is "partial 16S ribosomal RNA". It matches the Rfam family "Bacterial small subunit ribosomal RNA", at positions 29 to 507 of the family's 1533-position model. The record is from RNAcentral.